GUGGUACAUGAGCUGACCUGACCCCCAAGGCUCUUGGAUAAAGGAGAGGAGGCAGGCGUUGGCUUGAAGGCCAUGUAUUCAUGGCAGCUGGUCCCGGCACUUGGGUCCGCAGAGCUGCUGCAGGUUAAAGUUCAGCAUGGCUGCUAAUCGGGGACCAAGCUCCUAGGAAAUGAAGGACAACAGGACGGUCCAAGCUGCUGCAAAGUCCAGGCCCAGAAGCUCCUACCCCAGUGGGAAUGGGCUGCUCAAUCUGCAAAGCACCCCUGAAUUGUGCUGAGCUGCAGCACAAAGCUAGAGAAAGCAUUGGAAUCAAACAUCUCCCCCGCCAUUGAUCUGAAAACCCCUAUAAUGGAGUGGUCUGAUUGCAUAGAGAUGAACGCCCACAGAAGUCUUCUGGAAAGAGACACUUUCUCUUAGAGCAUCACUCCAAAGUCACUGAGAAGCAGGGAGAGGACAGAGGCCCUCGCUGUCCUGUCACUGUGGCUGGGAAGCCUCAUGUCCACAUUUCCCCAUAAACUUCUCAAGUCCCCAACAGUCAGGCACGUGUUGUUCUAAUCUACUUACUGAAGAGAGAGAAGACGGUGACAUUUGUCAACGGCGUACGUCUUGCCACUGUGAUGAAUUAAACUGACAGAAUAUUAAGGACAAAUAGCCCUCAAGAGUCGGCAGGCCAACAGUACCUGCUGCAGCUGGGACAAACAUGGCUUCUGAGCUCAGAGACAGCUGCUGUAGACCAGACAUUAAAUACUGACCAGCAAAAAGAUUCCUUAAAAAAAAA
RNAcentral lists this long non-coding RNA (778 nucleotides) under Mus musculus (house mouse). RNAcentral's name for it is "ubiquitination factor E4B, opposite strand 3 (Ube4bos3)". Lineage: Eukaryota; Metazoa; Chordata; Mammalia; Rodentia; Muridae. The record is from RNAcentral.